Molecule: ribosomal RNA, 254 nt
Filed under: uncultured bacterium
Lineage: Bacteria
Description: partial 16S ribosomal RNA
Rfam family: Bacterial small subunit ribosomal RNA
Source: RNAcentral
CACGUAGGGGGCAAGCGUUGUCCGGAUUUACUGGGCGUAAAGAGCUCGUAGGCGGUUCGGUAAGUUGGGUGUGAAAGCUCCAGGCUCAACCUGGAGAUGCCACCUAAUACUGCCGUGACUGGAGUUCGGUAGAGGAGUGUGGAAUUCCUGGUGUAGCGGUGAAAUGCGCAGAUAUCAGGAGGAACACCAACGGCGAAGGCAGCACUCUGGGCCGAUACUGACGCUGAGGAGCGAAAGCGUGGGGAUCAAACAGG